GACGAACGCUGGCGGCGUGCUUAACACAUGCAAGUCGUACGACAGCAUUUCCUUUUAGGCUGUGUUUGGAGUGGCGAACGGGUGAGUAACACGUGAGUGACCUGCCCUUCACUUUGGGAUAACGUGCGGAAACGUGCGCUAAUACCAAAUAUUCGCAUUUCUGCUGCAUGGUGGGGUGUGGAAAGGGGCCUUCGGGUUCGUGGUGGGGGAGUGGGCGUCGCGGCCGUAUCAGCUGUGUUGGUGGGGUGGAUGG
Molecule: ribosomal RNA, 253 nt
Filed under: uncultured bacterium
Lineage: Bacteria
Description: partial 16S ribosomal RNA
Rfam family: Bacterial small subunit ribosomal RNA
Source: RNAcentral